CAGUCGCCACGGUAAUACGUAGGGUGCAAGCGUUAAUCGGAAUUACUGGGCGUAAAGCGUGCGCAGGCGGUUAUAUAAGACAGAUGUGAAAUCCCCGGGCUCAACCUGGGAACUGCAUUUGUGACUGUAUAGCUAGAGUACGGCAGAGGGGGAUGGAAUUCCGCGUGUAGCAGUGAAAUGCGUAGAUAUGCGGAGGAACACCGAUGGCGAAGGCAAUCUUCUGGGCCUGUACUGACGCUCAUGCACGAAAGCGUGGGGAGCAAACAGGAUUAGAUACCCCUGUAGUCCCUGUCUCUUAUAC
Molecule: ribosomal RNA, 301 nt
Filed under: uncultured bacterium
Lineage: Bacteria
Description: partial 16S ribosomal RNA
Rfam family: Bacterial small subunit ribosomal RNA
Source: RNAcentral